GCAAACUUGGUCAUUUAGAGGAAGUAAAAGUCGUAACAAGGUUUCCGUAGGUGAACCUGCGGAAGGAUCAUUAACGAAAGCUAGAAGCGGGUGGGCUGUCGCUGGCGAUCCUCUCUUGGGUCGCAUGUGCACGUCUGCCUUGCCUUUACCUUUUCUCCACCUGUGCACCUUUGUAGGGGACCUGGAUGCAGCGCUCUCAGAGGGGGUUAACACCUUCUUUGGAUUUGGGAUUGUCGGUCGGCUUUCCUUGGUGGGCUUUCAGCGCUGGAUGUUGGAUUGCAGGCCUUUGACGGGUCAGCUCUCCUUGGUUGUCCGGUGUCUUCUAUGUUUUUUACACACUACAAAAAUUGAAAUAGAAUGUUUGCAUCUGGGGAUAAAUAAUACAACUUUCAGCAACGGAUCUCUUGGCUCUCGCAUCGAUGAAGAACGCAGC
This 433-nucleotide unclassified non-coding RNA is filed under the name uncultured fungus. RNAcentral's name for it is "partial contains small subunit ribosomal RNA, internal transcribed spacer 1, and 5.8S ribosomal RNA". The stretch from base 1 to 73 matches the Rfam family "Eukaryotic small subunit ribosomal RNA", at positions 1759 to 1831 of the family's 1831-position model. Lineage: Eukaryota; Fungi. The record is from RNAcentral.